Molecule: ribosomal RNA, 500 nt
Filed under: uncultured Glomus
Lineage: Eukaryota; Fungi; Glomeromycota; Glomeromycetes; Glomerales; Glomeraceae
Description: SSU rRNA
Rfam family: Eukaryotic small subunit ribosomal RNA
Source: RNAcentral
CCAAUAGCGUAUAUUAAAGUUGUUGCAGUUAUAAAGCUCGUAGUUGAAUUUCGAGAUCAGUACGCUGGUCGUGCCUUCGGUAUGCACUGGUGUCACUGGUUUCUCCCUUCUGAAGAACCGUCAUGCCAUUCAGUUGGUGUGGCGGGGAAUCAGGACUGUUACUUUGAAAAAAUUAGAGUGUUUAAAGCAGGCUCGCGCUUGAAUACAUUAGCAUGGAAUAAUGAAAUAGGACGUUUGACCCUAUUUUGUUGGUUUCUAGGAUCGACGUAAUGAUUAAUAGGGAUAGUUGGGGGCAUUAGUAUUCAAUUGUCAGAGGUGAAAUUCUUGGAUUUAUUGAAGACUAACUACUGCGAAAGCAUUUGCCAAGGAUGUUUUCAUUAAUCAAGAACGAAAGUUAGGGGAUCGAAGACGAUCAGAUACCGUCGUAGUCUUAACCAUAAACUAUGCCGACUAGGGAUCGGAUGAUGUUAAUUUUUUAAUGACUCAUUCGGCGCCUUACG